Molecule: ribosomal RNA, 327 nt
Filed under: uncultured eukaryote
Lineage: Eukaryota
Description: partial 18S ribosomal RNA
Rfam family: Eukaryotic small subunit ribosomal RNA
Source: RNAcentral
CCCUUAGAUGUUCUGGGCCGCACACGCGCUACACUGAAGGAGGCAGCGUGUACUCCUGGAUCGAAAGAUUUGGGUAACCCGCGAAUCUCCUUCGUGCUAGGGAUUGAGGUUUGCAAUUAUCCUUCAUGAACGAGGAAUUCCCAGUAAGUGCAAGUCAUAAGCUUGCGCUGACUACGUCCCUGCCCUUUGUACACACCGCCCGUCGCUACUACCGAUUGAAUGAUUUAGUGAGGACUUCGGACUGGGACCGAUGCGGCUUUCGGGCUGCGUCGGUGUUCUGGAAAGAUGUCCAAACUGUAUCAUUUAGAGGAAGUAAAAGUCGUANCA